UCAAUCAGAAUCAGAUCCAAGAAACUUAUUUAAAAAAUAAAUAAAAAAUAAAAAAUAAAAAUAAAAAAAGUAAAAUAAAAUAAAUAAAUAAAUAAAAAUAAUAAUAAAAAAAUUAAUUAAAUAAAUAAAUAAAAUAUAACAGAAAAAGGAAGAGAAACAAAAUACUCUGAGGUUUCCUUGGAACAAAACCCUAGACAAAACCUGGAGAGAAACCUGACAGAGAACUCAG
RNAcentral lists this long non-coding RNA (229 nucleotides) under Lathyrus oleraceus (garden pea). RNAcentral describes it as "Pisum sativum (pea) long non-coding RNA (PSAT_LNC015511)". The record is from RNAcentral. Lineage: Eukaryota; Viridiplantae; Streptophyta; Magnoliopsida; Fabales; Fabaceae.